AAAGUCGUAACAAGGUUUCCGUAGGUGAACCUGCGGAAGGAUCAUUACCGAGUUAGGGUCCUCUGGGCUCGACCUCCAACCCUUUGUCUACCUUACUUUACGUUGCUUCGGCGGGUCCGUCCUGAAAAGGACCGCCGGAGGGUGGAUUUACCCUCUGGCCCGCGCCCGCCGGUGGCCACCAAUCAAACUCUUGUUAAAAACGUGUCGUCUGAAGUAUUAAACAAAAUAACUAAAAACUUUCAACAACGGAUCUCUUGGUUCUG
RNAcentral lists this unclassified non-coding RNA (263 nucleotides) under Ascomycota sp. Its description in RNAcentral is "partial contains small subunit ribosomal RNA, internal transcribed spacer 1, and 5.8S ribosomal RNA". The stretch from base 1 to 47 matches the Rfam family "Eukaryotic small subunit ribosomal RNA", at positions 1785 to 1831 of the family's 1831-position model. The record is from RNAcentral. Lineage: Eukaryota; Fungi; Ascomycota.